AAGUCGUAACAAGGUAACCGUAGGUGAACCUGCGGUUGGAUCAUUAACAAAACUAGUCUUUGAGACUAAUACAAGGGCUUCGGCCUGAGUUGAACACCUGUGAAGCUAUAUGUCUUUGGCGAGUUUAACGCUCGUCAACAGUAUUUACCCUACUUUAAUAAUGACUGAAUCAAGAAUCUAAUUAAAAAACAACUUUUAACAACGGAUCUCUUGGCUCUC
RNAcentral lists this unclassified non-coding RNA (219 nucleotides) under fungal sp. Its description in RNAcentral is "partial internal transcribed spacer region". The stretch from base 1 to 46 matches the Rfam family "Eukaryotic small subunit ribosomal RNA", at positions 1786 to 1831 of the family's 1831-position model. The record is from RNAcentral. Lineage: Eukaryota; Fungi.